Athene cunicularia (burrowing owl) is the source of this 5378-nucleotide long non-coding RNA. RefSeq lists it as uncharacterized. The record is from RefSeq and is a predicted model, not a curated record. The transcript is spliced from 2 exons. Lineage: Eukaryota; Metazoa; Chordata; Aves; Strigiformes; Strigidae.
GUACCGCCCGGUCCCCUCAGCGCCCGCGGAGGCCUGACCCGCCGCCACCUUGGGUCUGCCCGGCCCUGGGGCUGAGACAGCCCCUGGCUGGGGCCGGGGGGGGGGGCCGGGACCCCCCCACGCUGCCCCCCGGCCUCCCCCAAACCCCCGGCUGUGGCUGCGCUUGCAGGGUCGGGCACCCCCGGGCUCGGCCGCCGCCGUGCGGGGCAGCAUCCCCAGGAAAGCCGCUUCCCAGGGCUGGUUUCGGGUCUCCUCCACAGCUCUGGAGCAUCCCUGGCUCCCGGAGUUGCGACCACCAGCCCGGGGCGUGCCUGGGGUAAGGCAGAGGACGCAGCACUCCUGCCCCAAGGGCUGAACAUGAGAGAGGGAUUAUAACAAAGCAUCACUUCAACCACAGAUAGAAAGCAGGCGUCUCCGGUAUCCAGCGCUCCGGCGUCUGACAGCUUGCAGCCAUACCACAGAACAGCUCAGGACGGGAAGUGAUCUCCUCUUACAAAUUACAGGAGCCAAUUUUACACAGGGCAAACACUUCCCAUUUUGCAGGGACCAGAGCGAGACCGUGAAUGGCAGCAGGUCAGGGCCUCUGCUCUCCUCGUUGCUCUCCAAACCCUUCCGGACACGCUGCGGGAGAAACAUCGGCACCUCCGGGCACCCGCGGCCGGUAAGACCGCCUCGGAACCACGUCUGUGGGUGCCGGACCCCGAGCAGGCGCUUGGGAUGCUCCAAAGCCCUCGCAGGACAGCUCUCCGUGCAGAAGUUUUUCCCCACUCAAUCGUUUCAGCCGUGUCUGGCAGCUAAGCGAUCCUUAGCCUGGAUAAAAAUCUGUAAGGCUUUGACAAGGAACACAGACAUCAGUAAGAGUGAAAACAUUCGAGGCAAACCUUCGGCUUUCAGUGCGUACAUGUGCCACAACAUUUGCUUUCCCGAAGUUAAACACCGAUCAGCAUCUCUUCUGUGACACAGUGCCUUGCAGUGAGCUUUGCUGACCGCAAUCUGUCUCAUCCAGGCUUGUUUCGGGGGAAAUGGGUGAUUUUAUCAAAAUUUCUUUACUGUCCUUUGAUAUGGGUCUUAGCUGCUAAUGGCACUAGGAAGUAAAAAGAAAUGGGAAUAGAAAUACACAACUAUGAAGAAUUCAAACAGUGAGUUUAAUUCAGCCAGUUCCAACUAAAUUGAUAAUUCCCUGAAAAACAAACCUUGUGCCGAAAACACAGAACAUGUUUUUGACUUGACAGCUGGCGAGAACAACUAAGUGAAAAGGUGAAUGGAGUAUUCCUGCCUUCUCUAAAAAAACAGAAGGUUCCACACAUGCUGAAAAUGCCCCUUGUUUUUUUACUAAAUGGGUUGGUUUUGGAGGUAGCUGUCGGGAAGGCUUUGCAAAGAAAGCAGAGGUCUACACUCUGAUACAAGCAGUAAUUUCAGAUGCCCACAAUGGAAAUGUUUUACAAACGUCUGGUUUUCAAAAAGUGUUUAUGCUUCCUUAAACAAAAACCCAGGGCUUUUACAAAUGGCUCAGAUUAACCCAGAAACCUGAAGAACCAAAAAAAAAAAAUCUGUUAUUAUUUUUAAAAAAUCCUAAACCCAGCUUUCCCAGUGGUUCUUUACCUGGGCUUCAGGAAGAUGCAGCGUACAACAAAAUGAUGCGAGGUUCAGGCUCUGGCCAGCCCGGGCUGAGGGAGCUAGCUGGACAGCCUGGCUCAGUUUCUCUUAGCACUGAAAUACUUUUUCCAAACCAAUACCAAAAAAGGUUUGUUUCUAGGUCAAGACCUCAGUACUAAAUUUUAACCAGGGCCUGACAGUCAAAUCUGAACACAGCUGUAAAAUGGAUUCGCAACAGCAGCUCAGACAUUCUUUUUCUAAUUGGAAAACAGUCACUGAGCCUUGCGCGUCUAAAGGUGAAAGCUAUUUUUGACAUAAAAAUUAGCACGUAGUUCCUCUGUCAUCCUUCAGUUGCUGCUCUGGAAGCUGUGAGCGAAUGAUCCAAAGAUAAGAGGUAUAAACAUGCUGAAUUAAAUAAAUAGGUGGAAGGGGAUCAAGUUUUAAGUUUUAUUCUGCCUGACGAUUAGGAGAGGAAGAGAUUUAUUUUUACACUUGCUAUUUAUCCUAAAAAGCACCAGUAAAAAAGUCCACUUAAGCACCGAGACAGACCUCAAAGGCAUCUGAAAACUUGAAGGGCUUUUAAUAGCUGCCUUUCGAAUAUACUGGUAAAUCUAUUUUUGAGAUGGAUAAACUAAGCCACCAACAAAGCAAGGCAGGAGUUUUCAGUAGGACCCGGCAGUGAAAACCUGUAGUCCACUUCUCAACAACUCGGCUCCCAUGCGGGGACCCUAAGUGGUGAGAUAAAAAAAUAUCAAGAGUACUGGACACUUUUGAAAACCUGGGCAUUCUUUAAAUCCAAAUUUUCCUUCCUUCCUUCUUUGGUGGGAACCUCACCCUGAGAGCCUUGAAAAUUAACCCCAGGCAGUUUUCAAAAUACAUCUGAGAGUGACGGUUUCUAAAAUAAAAGUGAGCGAAGAGCGAGCAGAACUUGGAGGGCUUAUCACCGCCAGUAAUGCCUCCGACUAAUCCCUCGGCAGCCCCGGCCCCUUUAUGUAACCCGGGAUUGCUGCAGCUCAAACCGCUUACUGGGUUUUUGGUGUUUUUCUUUAAACCUCUUGUGGACAAAUGCAAAUACAUUAAAUACUUUUUUUCUUCCGCCACUCUAAAGAAAAAGUUAUCGUAAGAAGGGGAAAAAAAAAAUCUUUUAUUUGUGAACAAUGGCAAAUAGAAUUUAACUCAUACGUUGAGAAUAACACGCGUUUCUCUCUCUCAUCCGUCAUCUUGACUGAACAGAAAUCUCCCCAAUUUACAACACUCAGGUGUAACUCUCCAAUGGCAAGACACGGAAGGUCAAAGCCCAAAUUCCUCCUCGCCCCAAGCGCCCUCUGGAAGCGGUGGGGCGUUCCAAAUAAAGAAACCAACGUGCCCAAGGUAAACCACUCCUAGUUUUGGGGCAGCGUGGAUGGCUGUGCCGCAACACCUCCUUCCCGCGGCCCCGCAGCGCCUCGCCCGCACAGCGCCGGGCACCCGCGGGCUCUCCUCGCCCGCAGGAUGCGUUUCCGUGCCACUGAUCUGACCGCUCUGACUUUCCAUGGCACAAAUCCUUCCAAGGCAAAAUUCAACUGUAAAACCUUCCGUCGGUGCUAAGCCAUUAACCUAAUGCUCGAACGCUUAUGGAAACUUAAGAAGGAAAAAAUAAAACCCCUAUUGAACCACUUGCAAUCGGAGACCUGAAUGGGCUCGAUAUAAAACCCACUGAACUCAACGGCAGCAAUAGGCUUCCCUGGACGUUGGACUAGAUCCAGCUUAAAAGUUUCCAUUAAAUAAACUAGGCUAAGCGCAUCAGCUGCAUAGAAACUAACUCGGUGUAACAGGAGCAUCUGUUCUUCACAUCCACCAUUUUCUUAUAGUCUUAACUCCCCCGUGCUGCGGUGACACGAGUUGCCAUACAAAUCCCUCAUCGCUGUGGUGCAGCUACGCGCCGGCUCCCGACAGCAGCUGGCCUCACUGCCUCGUUAUGCUGUGGAUGAACCAUCGAUUACAAGCUCAGGGACGCCCAAACUUCAUCUAAGGGUCAUCUCUGCCGUUUACCCAGACCCAGAACGCUACACCUACUAGGUAAAACUGGUGCAAGUUGGUCUCAUUGCCACGGGUAGCAGAGAUGGCUUGGAAACUACACAUCCCAACAUGCAAGGCCCCACCAGCGCGGGCUGCUCUACGCUACGGGAGGAGGGAGUUCUGCUGGGGCGCGGUCGCCUCGUGCCUCGGGAUCGGCCGGGGCGGCCGAAGUCAUGCAGCUGCCUGCACGCAAUGCUCUACACAGUGCAAAAACGAAGACCUCUACACAUCUGGAGUAAGAACAGUGGUAACAAAGUCAUAGCUACAUAUUCUUCUCUACAUUUUUGUUUAUUGAGACAAACUAAUUAAAAGGCACAAACAUAGGGCAUAUGUUUACAUGGACAUUAUAACAAACAUAUACAUUAAAAGUGUAGGAAUGUGUUUCCUUUCUGCUAAACAGAAAGUUCCUAAGCUUUUAUAUAUACAAAAGUUGUACAAUUUGAUGUCCUAAAGUACAAAAGAUCAUUUAUAAAAUUAUUUUACACUAAGCUCUAUUUUUUUUUUGUUUGUUUUUAUUUUACUAUGUAGUCCAAGCCCCUAGAACAGUUUCACGUAAUGAUACAGAUACCUGUCACCUGAGCCAGCAGCCUGGCAAUCACUGCUUGUACUGACACGGCAGGGUACAAACGGAAGCAGUCCAUUUUGACUAGUCAGUCCUGCUAGCACUCUGUGAAAAUGCGCACACGCUACUCUCCAUAGCUUUCAACUUCAUUAAGAUAAAAACAUCUCAACUGUAGUUUUUUUCUUUUUUUUUUUAAUAUAGAGUCUUGGGUUUAGGGUGGUUGGUUUUUUUUUUUUUUUUUUAAACAAAGUUUUAAAAACGUGAAUAUGUGACAUGAUAGUCUAAAAAGUAUAUCUGUUUCCCUAGAUUUUGCUUUCUACUUUAUGUACAGAUAAACAGGUUAAGAAAUAAAAAGCACAUGUAGCUUAAACAUGUGUGACCAUUUGUGAAGAAGUUCUGGGCUGGACAGACCAAACCAUCACUCCAGAACUCCCACAAACUGAUAGAAAUGUGUUAACACAAUAGAAGAGUAACGUAAAAAUGAUGAUGUUUGCAAAUAUUUACAAAGUUGAACAGAUUUGCACAACACUUGAUUAAGAAAUAGGGGAGAAAUUAAAAGACGCUCUCUGCUUGUCCUGGAGGGGCAUCCUACCUAGUUAGUGGUUAGAAUAAAAACUGUAUACAAUUUAAUAUAAGACAAAACUUCUAGUGAACAACUAACACGUCUGUCCCCUGCUGUAACACCAGCAGGCUCUGACUGGGAGGCAGAGGGCAUAAAAAUCAUACCCAGUGCCUCCAGAAUCUUCCAGCUUAAAGCAAUAUUUCUUAAGUUUCAAAAGCACUCCUUUUGCUCCUAGAUAAGAGUCCCAUAGGGGUCUGACUGUUCAGAGACCAUGUUUACACACAUUGCGACUCCUCUUCUGUCAGCCAUGGCUGUUUCUCACCAAACAGUAACAGUUUUUUUAAAAAAAAUGUUGACUACAAUGCUAUAUUCCCUUAGGGUAAUAUGUUGGGUAAUAUUUACAUCUCCAAAUAUCAGGUCACAAUCCCUAUUAUAUGUUGAAGUUAGAAUGAUAAGUUAUCAUAUGCUUUGCAUAUCAGAGCUGGUAUCACCUUUCCCAUAGGGAAUGCUGCCUGAAAUUAUCAUAUUCCCAAAGGUAAAAUGCAUAUUUUCUCCAAAAUGCAUUUUUUUUUUAAUGACAACAUUGUAAUGCAUUUACUC